AUGAUGUACACCCCUGUACCCCUUGACAUCCAGUACCUCGCGUCUGCUCAACUUGAACACCUCCUCAGUACGUACAUCUCUGAAUUUUGCCCUUGCUUGAGAAGGCCGAGCAUUGUUUUGUUGUAGCUAUAAUUUGAGUUUAGAAGAUAUACUCCUCUCUUUUUGACGUCAAUUUUUUCAGUUGAUUUUGCUCGAGGAUGGUGCCCUUUAUGUGCAUGAACUGAUGGGUGUGUUCACAACGUAGAGCAGCGCUUCUCUGUCCAGUCUCAUGUCUUUCUCUUCAGCACGGAUCAGCGAGUACUACCGAGCAAAAAUGUCCUUAUCUUCGUUUGUUUCUUCCUUUUCCUUACUACUUUUGUGGCCCCAAAUCUCACGAUGGCUCUAUGCAUGUUCUUUUUGUUGACAUGAAUUUUACCAUGAAAAUUUCCUACUAAUCUACAAUGUUCUGCUAUCUAAAUUUGUAUGUAUAUUGUGAAUGAGUAGACACUGGUGCAGAAACCCGAUUGGAUGAAAAUACGGACAACAGAGAGGUGUAAUUAUUAAUUAUUUUCUUGCCUUAAAAGAUAUGCAACUAGCAGAG
Molecule: long non-coding RNA, 580 nt
Filed under: Hordeum vulgare
Lineage: Eukaryota; Viridiplantae; Streptophyta; Magnoliopsida; Poales; Poaceae
Description: long non-coding RNA (HVUL_LNC020546)
Source: RNAcentral